GGAAGUGGGAUGACGUCAAAUCAUCAUGCCCCUUAUGACCUGGGCUACACACGUGCUACAAUGGUUGGUACAACGAGUUGCGAGUCGGUGACGGCGAGCUAAUCUCUUAAAGCCAAUCUCAGUUCGGAUUGUAGGCUGCAACUCGCCUACAUGAAGUCGGAAUCGCUAGUAAUCGCGGAUCAGCACGCCGCGGUGAAUACGUUCCCGGGCCUU
This 213-nucleotide ribosomal RNA is filed under the name uncultured Streptococcus sp. RNAcentral's name for it is "partial 16S ribosomal RNA". It matches the Rfam family "Bacterial small subunit ribosomal RNA", at positions 1168 to 1382 of the family's 1533-position model. Lineage: Bacteria; Bacillati; Bacillota; Bacilli; Lactobacillales; Streptococcaceae. The record is from RNAcentral.